UAGUCCACGCCGUAAACGAUGAUUACUCGCUGUAGGCGAUACACAGUCUGUGGCUAAGCGAAAGUUUUAAGUAAUCCACCUGGGGAGUACGAUCGCAAGAUUGAAACUCAAAGGAAUUGACGGGGGCCCGCACAAGCGGAGGAACAUGUGGUUUAAUUCGAUGAUACGCGAGGAACCUUACCUGGACUUAAAUGUAGAUUGCAUAGCUUAGAGAUAGGUUUUUCUUCGGACUAUUUACAAGGUGCUGCAUGGUUGUCGUCAGCUCGUGUCGUGAGAUGUUGGGUUAAGUCCCGCAACGAGCGCAACCCUUGUCUUUAGUUGCCAUCAUUUAGUUGGGCACUCUAGAGAAACUGCCGGUGACAAACCGGAGGAAGGUAAGGAUGACGUCAAGUCAGCAUGCCCCUUACGCUCUGGGCUACACACGUGCUACAAUGGUCGUGACAAAGGGCAGCUACCUGGCGACAGGAUGCUAAUCUCUAAAGCCGUUCUCAGUUCGGAUCGAAGU
RNAcentral lists this ribosomal RNA (505 nucleotides) under uncultured bacterium. Its description in RNAcentral is "bacterial SSU rRNA". It matches the Rfam family "Bacterial small subunit ribosomal RNA", at positions 791 to 1304 of the family's 1533-position model. The record is from RNAcentral.